UCAGUAUGGUAACAAAAUUGAGUUUGAUUCUGAGUCCUGGAGAUCAUUACUAAGAUUAGGCAUAUUUUUUACUACAUUUUUAUGUUGGAACUCCAUAUUAAGACAGCAAAAGGUACCUAUGAUAAGGAUGUGCAAAUAGAUUUAACACGAUUAUGUUUUGAAAUAUCAAAAAAGAUGCGUUCAGAAAUAAAAAGGGAUGUUCUUGUAUAUAAGCAAGCAUUAUUGACUAAGCAACCAUCGUCAUCAAAUAAAAAAUAAUACUAAUAAAUCAACACCUUAAGAUGAGCAAACAACAAGUUGUCGAUGAAAUUCAUAAGGCAGCGCGAAAAAACUUCAUACGGCGAAAGUUCGUUCAAAAACGGAUAAAUGACACAUGGCAAAUUGAUUUAGUUGAAAUGAUACCAUUUUCGAAAGAAAAUAAGGGUUUUAGAUAUUUACUGACCGUUAUUGACACGUUCUCAAAGUAUGCAUACGCCGAGGCAGUUAAGUCAAAGUCUGCCCUGGAUGUAGCAGAGGCAAUGAAAUCUGUUUUUAAAAAGAGUAAAAGUACACCCAAGAAUAUUCAGUCAGAUCAAGGGAAAGAAUUUUUUAAUUCCACUUUUAGGAAAUUAAUGGAUAAAUUUGAUAUAAAUCAUUAUCAUACUUAUACGCAUCUCAAGGCUUCUAUCUGUGAACGCUUUAAUAGAACAUUAAAAAAUCGUAUGUGGAAAAUGUUUAGUAUGCAGGGUAAAUAUAAGUGGAUUCAUAACAUCAAUUAUCUCGUAAAUCAAUACAAUAAUUCAUAUCACCGAACAAUUAAAAUGAAGCCUAUAGAUGUCUGCACGAAAAAUGAAGAGUUUAUUUUAAAAUCGGUAUAUAAUAUACCAAAAAUAUUUCCAAAACAUAAAUUUUUAGUAGGUGAUUUUGUUAGAAUAAGUAAAUACAAGGGAGCAUUUAUGAAGGGAUACGAACCUAAUUGAACCACAGAAGUUUUUAAAGUUUUAAAAGUCAAGUCUACAUACCCCGUAACAUAUGAAAUACAAGAUUAUAUGGGUACGCCUAUUAAUGGGUCAUUUUAUGAAGAGGAACUUCAAAAAGUGAAAGACAAAAAUGCUUUCCUAGUAGAGAAAAUACUAAAAAGGAAAAAUAAUCAAGUGCUUGUAAAAUGGAGCGGUUUCGAUUCCAGCCACAACUCAUGGAUAUCUGUAAAUGACCUGCUAAAGUAAUAAAACGCAACAAUAACAAGUUUAA
Molecule: long non-coding RNA, 1230 nt
Organism: Drosophila biarmipes
Lineage: Eukaryota; Metazoa; Arthropoda; Insecta; Diptera; Drosophilidae
Exons: 2
Source: RefSeq, a predicted model, not a curated record